UAGGGAGGAAUCUUGUUCAUUCAUUUACCCAUUCUAGCUGUGGUAACCAGACCAAAGGUGGUGUCUGGAAAGCAUGAUGAAUAUGGAGUCAGAAAACCUGAGUUCUAAUCCCACUUCUCUAAAGCUUCAGGUUCCUCUUCUACAAAAUGAAAGGAAUUAGAUGAAAUGACCCCUACUUCUUGCUUUAUAACCAUGGGUCUAGUUAACUUCCUGCAACUACACAAAAUAAUCAGAAUAUCUCAUCAUAAUCUGAUGUCGAUUUGGGUGUUAUAUCAGACUGAAAACACUGCACAUGUUCAAAAAGGGAAGGCUUUCCUUGGACAGUCUAAUGCUAUAUGAAAUAAAGAGUCAUCCAAGUCCAGUGGCAAGACAAAAGUUAGGAUCUCAAGCCUGUCUGUGAGUUAGGGGGUGUCUACCCCAGGCAUGUGAAGGCUAGAGAAUCAGACUUGCAGUCAAAAACAAGACCUCAAGACACUCUAGGUAUGUGACCCUGGGCAAGGUAUUUAACCUCUCCCAGCCUUGUUAUUCUUAUAUAACUAUAUAACUGUAUAAAAUAUUCUAUAAAAUUGGCAUAAUAACAUUUGUAGUGUUUAUCUCACUGUGUUGUUAAGAAGAUCAAAUCAUCAUUAGAUUCCUUAUUUGUAAAAUGAAGGAAAAAAAGACAUUGCAUUUGAUUCAGGGUUGUUGUGAGGAAAUAAUGAGAUUAGUUAUGUAAAGUGCUUCACAAAUCUUGAAGUGCUAUAUACAUUUUAGUUACUUUGCAAUUCCAUUGAAAUGUUCACUAUUGAGAGUUGGACUCUUAGCAUAGUUAUCUGAUCACUUUGUAUCCCCAGUUCCUCGAUCAGGGGUUUUCCCCAUAGUAGACAGACUGGUGUUAAAUUUAUGGGCAUCUUUGAAAAUCAUCCUGAGCAGAUUAAAGUAGACAGGAAGAGAGGCAGGUAGAGAUGAUACUCUAAGACAAUGACUUCCAAAUGUUUUUGAUUGUGCACCUCUAUCAUUAAAAUAUUUUUGAGCUUUCAUUCUCAACAUGCAGAAAAAUAAUUUUGUACAAUAUCAGGUAUCCCUUUCAAAUUGAGACUUUUCUCAUCAAGGUUUAGGCUUAUUGGGAUUGGCAUAAGAAAUUAAAUGGGAACAUUUUUUGGAAUUUGAAGAAGAUGCAGAGGAGGUAAUGGUCAUCAGAUGAUACCUGGGGAAAAAAAACAACAACUUAGAAACUCAG
This 1219-nucleotide long non-coding RNA is filed under the name Monodelphis domestica (gray short-tailed opossum). Its description in RNAcentral is "lncRNA (ENSMODG00000030659.2)". The record is from RNAcentral. Lineage: Eukaryota; Metazoa; Chordata; Mammalia; Didelphimorphia; Didelphidae.